ACGAAAAAUAACGAUACGGGACUCAUCCGAGGCCCCGUAAUCGGAAUGAGUACACUCUAAACCCUUUAACGAGGAUCAAUUGGAGGGCAAGUCUGGUGCCAGCAGCCGCGGUAAUUCCAGCUCCAAUAGCGUAUAUUAAAGUUGUUGCGGUUAAAAAGCUCGUAGUCGAAUUUGUGUCUCGCGCCGCCGGUUCAUCGCUCGCGGUGUCAACUGGCGCGCUUGCGGGACGUCCUGCCGGUGGGCUUAGCCCUCCGGGGCGGCCCAAUCUCAAUCCCACCGCGGUGCUCUUCACUGAGUGUCGAGGUGGGCCGGCACGUUUACUUUGAACAAAUUAGAGUGCUUAAAGCAGGCUAAAACUUCGCCUGAAUACUGUGUGCAUGGAAUAAUGGAAUAGGACCUCGGUUCUAUUUUGUUGGUUUUCGGAACCCCGAGGUAAUGAUUAAUAGGAACGGAUGGGGGCAUUCGUAUUGCGACGUUAGAGGUGAAAUUCUUGGAUCGUCGCAAGACGGACAGAAGCGAAAGCAUUUGCCAAAAACGUUUUCAUUGAUCAAGAACGAAAGUUAGAGGUUCGAAGGCGAUCAGAUACCGCCCUAGUUCUAACCAUAAACGAUGCCAGCUAGCGAUCCGCCGACGUUCCUCCGAUGACUCGGCGGGCAGCUUCCGGGAAACCAAAGCUUUUGGGUUCCGGGGGAAGUAUGGUUGCAAAGCUGAAACUUAAAGGAAUUGACGGAAGGGCACCACCAGGAGUGGAGCCUGCGGCUUAAUUUGACUCAACACGGGAAACCUCACCASGCCCAGACACCGGAAGGAUUGACAGAUUGAGAGC
Molecule: ribosomal RNA, 826 nt
Filed under: Podotenus fulviventris
Lineage: Eukaryota; Metazoa; Arthropoda; Insecta; Coleoptera; Scarabaeidae
Description: SSU rRNA
Rfam family: Eukaryotic small subunit ribosomal RNA
Source: RNAcentral